UUCGAUUCUGGCUCAGAGUGAACGCUGGCGGCGUGCCUAAUACAUGCAAGUCGAACGAUGAAGCUCUAGCUUGCUAGAGUGGAUUAGUGGCGCACGGGUGAGUAAUGCAUAGAUAACAUGCCCUUUAGUCUAGGAUAGCCAUUGGAAACGAUGAUUAAUACUGGAUACUCCUUACGAGGGAAAGUUUUUCGCUAAAGGAUUGGUCUAUGUCCUAUCAGCUUGUUGGUGAGGUAAUGGCUCACCAAGGCUAUGACGGGUAUCCGGCCUGAGAGGGUGAACGGACACACUGGAACUGAGACACGGUCCAGACUCCUACGGGAGGCAGCAGUAGGGAAUAUUGCUCAAUGGGGGAAACCCUGAAGCAGCAACGCCGCGUGGAGGAUGAAGGUUUUCGGAUUGUAAACUCCUUUUGUUAGAGAAGAUAAUGACGGUAUCUAACGAAUAAGCACCGGCUAACUCCGUGCCAGCAGCCGCGGUAAUACGGAGGGUGCAAGCGUUACUCGGAAUCACUGGGCGUAAAGAGCGCGUAGGCGGGAUAGCAAGUCAGAUGUGAAAUCCUAUGGCUUAACCAUAGAACUGCAUUUGAAACUGUUAUUCUAGAGUAUGGGAGAGGUAGGUGGAAUUCUUGGUGUAGGGGUAAAAUCCGUAGAGAUCAAGAGGAAUACUCAUUGCGAAGGCGACCUGCUAGAACAUAACUGACGCUGAUGCGCGAAAGCGUGGGGAGCAAACAGGAUUAGAUACCCUGGUAGUCCACGCCCUAAACGAUGAAUGCUAGUUGUUGUGGAGCUUGUCUCUGCAGUAAUGCAGCUAACGCAUUAAGCAUUCCGCCUGGGGAGUACGGUCGCAAGAUUAAAACUCAAAGGAAUAGACGGGGACCCGCACAAGCGGUGGAGCAUGUGGUUUAAUUCGAAGAUACACGAAGAACCUUACCUAGGCUUGACAUUGAUAGAAUCCGCUAGAGAUAGUGGAGUGCUAGCUUGCUAGAACUUGAAAACAGGUGCUGCACGGCUGUCGUCAGCUCGUGUCGUGAGAUGUUGGGUUAAGUCCCGCAACGAGCGCAACCCUCGUCCUUAGUUGCUAACUAUUCGGUAGAGCACUCUAAGGAGACUGCCUUCGCAAGGAGGAGGAAGGUGAGGAUGACGUCAAGUCAUCAUGGCCCUUACGCCUAGGGCUACACACGUGCUACAAUGGGAAGCACAAAGAGAUGCAAUAUUGUGAAAUGGAGCAAAUCUAUAAAACUUCUCUCAGUUCGGAUUGUAGUCUGCAACUCGACUACAUGAAGCUGGAAUCGCUAGUAAUCGUAAAUCAGCUAUGUUACGGUGAAUACGUUCCCGGGUCUUGUACUCACCGCCCGUCACACCAUGGGAGUUGUAUUCGCCUUAAGUCGGAAUGCCAAACUGGCUACCGCCCACGGCGGAUGCAGCGACUGGGGUGAAGUCGUAAAAAGGUACCC
RNAcentral lists this ribosomal RNA (1453 nucleotides) under uncultured bacterium. RNAcentral's name for it is "partial 16S ribosomal RNA". It matches the Rfam family "Bacterial small subunit ribosomal RNA". The record is from RNAcentral.